Molecule: ribosomal RNA, 1202 nt
Filed under: bacterium
Lineage: Bacteria
Description: partial 23S ribosomal RNA
Rfam family: Bacterial large subunit ribosomal RNA
Source: RNAcentral
GGAGUUCUGAGUAAGGGCGUGCGGUGGAUGCCUUGACUCUAAAGGGCGAUGAAGGACGCGGCUUAGCUGCGAUACGCUUCGGGGAGGUGCUAUGCAACCUUUGAUCCGGAGAUUUCCGAAUGGGGAAACCCUAUCAGGUGAACCCUGAUAAUUCUCUCCUUAAACGAGAGAGAAAGCUGACCCCGGGAAGUGAAACAUCUCAGUACCGGGAGGAACAGAAAACAAUAGUUAUUCCCUUAGUAGCGGCGAGCGAAACGGGAGAAGCCCAAACUCAGCCACUUACUCGUGCCUCACUUUUGUGAAGCACGAGGAAUUUCGAAGCAUGAAUAUCGAAGCUCGAAACAAAUUCAAAGCACGAAACUUAAAAUUCUAAACGGAUUCAGUUUUAAUUUUUUGGUUUGUGAUUUUGAGUCCAUUUGUUUCGGAUUUCGGAUUUAGAAUUUCGGAUUUUCUUAGGAGUGCCUCGCAGAAGCGAGGUACGAGUAAGGAGUUGGGGGUUGUAAGGCUAUGGCGUGUAUACGAAAGUGUACGUAGAGUAAAAAAUUGCCGAGUUAGAGGAAUCCUCUGGAAAGAGGAGCCCCAGUGGGUAAUAGCCCCGUACUCGAAAACGAAGCAACUCUAUGGCUGUAGUUCUUGAGUAACUCGAGACAUGAAUAGCUUGAGUGAAUCCGCCAGUACUAACUGGUAAGGCUAAAUACUUUUAGAGAUCGAUAGUGAACAAGUACCGUGAGGGAAAGGUGAAAAGAACCCCGGUGAGGGGAGUGAAAUAGACCUGAAACCGCAUGUCUACAAGGAGUCAGCGCGGUGCUUCGCACCGAAUGUCAAAUGUAAAAUUUUUAAUUUUUAAAUAAUUUCUAAUUUCUUAAUUAUAGAAUUUAGAUUUAUUUUGAAAUUUGGAAUUGAAAAUUGGAAAUUCGGCGCGGAGCGCCGCCAUGGCGUGCCUAUUGAAGAAUGAGCCAACGAGUUGAUGCAAACUGCAGGCUAAGUCCUUUCGGAUGGAGCCACAGCGAAAGCGAGUGUUAAUAGCGCGUCUAUUGUAGUUUGUAUCAGACCCGAAGCAACGUGAGCUACCCAUGAGCAGGCUGAACCUUCUCGAAAGAGAAGGGGAGGGCCGAACCCGUAGAUUGUUCAACAUCUUGGGAUGACUUGUGGGUUGGAGUGAAAAGCUUAUCGAACGUUGUAAUAGCUGGUUCUCUCCGAAA